AGGCGCUGGAGUUGGGGCAAAAGGGAGAGGGAGGGAGCCCGAAACUCGCGGCGGCGGCCAAUCGGCUCUCACUGCCGUCCAAUCGCAAGACCUAGCUGCAGUGUGAUUGGCCUUCGGCCCCGGUCCCAGGAGCGGGGAGAUGCCUGACUCGGGUCGUGGCUGACGACCCGACGGUUCGCCUGCGGCCGCCUCCAACAACGGUGGAAACCGCACACAGGGACCGCGGGCCCUCGGUGCAGCAAAUCGGAAAGUGCUGCGGUCGGCGGCCCUGGGCUCUGAGCGCUCAAGCGAGCAGAGGGGUGGAGGGGCUCUCCCCACCCACAGGAGGCUCUCGGCGGGGCGCAGCCAAUUCUGCGCGCCCAAGGCUCCCCUCUGCCGUGGAUCGCGUGUGCCGAGUGUUGGCCUCUUCCCCGAAAGGGCCAGACGGACCAAGGGGGCCUUCCCAGCCGGCUGCAAGCUCUCAGACGCUAAAAUGGGAACAAAGCUUCCAGAAAGGCAGCGCCUUUGGGCGGCCGCGCCCCGCCCAGCCGCGGGGGCCAUUGAUACAGAGGCUUGCUGCGCUUGGUGUGCGCGGCCCGGCCGGGCCUCUGGAAACGCCCAUGAGAAAUGAGCUCAUGCUGGAUGCGCGCGCUCCUUGGGCGCAACUGCCCAGCGCAAAACGGGCCCCGAAAGCAGGUGAGUGGAGGACACUUCAAUCUAAAGUGAUCUUAAAGGAGGAGUAGUAGGAUUUGAAGAUGAAGAAAGAAGAGGGGAGGUAAAUUACUUUCCAUCACUUCAAUUUCAACCCAUCAGAUAAAACCUCUCUUUAGUAAACCUGCAUGUGGGUGGAGCUGUAACAGCAAUUAAGGACAGUGUGACUCUGUUCUUCUGACUUUGGGAAAACCAGUUUGGCUGGAACAAAAAGCUGAUAGAGAAGACUAAUGGAAGAUAAGGUUGAAAAGGUAGGUUUGAGGGAGCUUUGUUACAGGAAAAAAAAAAAAAAAAAACUGGGCUUUGUCCUGUAGACAGUGGAGAGGUACUUUAGCAGAUGUAAGACAUUACCAUUAUAGGAAAGCCUCUGAAGUAACAUACACUGUGGUUUUUCCUGUUGCUGAAAAUAUGCCCAGAGUAACAAGAUGUGGCAUAGUUGGUUAUGUGUCUUAUAACCAGUGAGGUGUGCCCAAAUGGGAAAUUAAUGAAUGACUACCCAAAAAGAAGAGGGAGAGUGUUUGAAACACUGUCACUGUGAAAUAGACUGGUUGUAUGAAAAGUUGCAUAUCAAGCCUUUGGCAAAUUAUAUAAAUACUCUGAUUUUGACAUCUUAAAGGAGUAUACUAUAGAAAAUAAAAGAAAAACACUUGAAUCUGUUACAGGAAACGGGUCAUGAUCCAGACCCCAGGAGAGGGUUCUUGGAUCUCACACAAGAAAGAAUUCAGGGUGACCCCACAGUGCAAAAGUCAAAGCAAGUAUUAAGAAAAUGAAGGAAUAACAGAAUGGCUACUACAUAGAGCAGCCCUGAGGGCUGCUGGUUGCCCUUUUUUUUUUUUCCUUUGAGAUGGAGUUUUCGUUCUUGUUGCCCAGGCUGGAGUGCAAUGGCGUGAUCUCGGCUCACCACAACCUCCACCUCCCAGGUUCAAGCAAUUCUGCCUCAGCCUCCCGAGUAGCUGAGAUUACAGGCAUGCGCCACCACGCCCGGCUAAUUUUGUGUUUUUAGUAGAGUGAGGGUUUCUCCAUGUUGGUCAGGUUGGUCUUGAACUUCCGACCUCAGUUGAUCUGCCCGCCUUGGCCUCCCAAAGUACUGGGAUUACAGGCAUAAGCCACCGCACCUGGCCUGGUUGCCCAUUCUUUAUGGUCGUUUCUUGAUGAUAUGCUAACCAAGGAGUGGAUUAAUCAUGCCUCCCCUUUUUGGACCACAUAGGGUCUAAACUGUCAUGGCACAUUUGUAAACUGUCAUGGCACUGGUGGGAGUGUAGCAGUGAGGACGACCAGAGGUCACUCUCGUCGCCAUUUUGGUUUUGGUGGGUUUUGGCCAGCUCCUUUACUGCAACCUGUUUUAUCAGCAAGGUCUUUAAGACCUGUAUUUUGUGCUGACCUCCUAUCUCAUCCUGUGACUUAGAAUGCCUUAACUGACCAUCUGGGAAUGCAGCCCAAUAGAUUUCACCCUCAUUUUGCCCGGCUCCUGUUUAAGAUGGAGUUGCUCUGGUUCACAUGCCUCUAACAAAUCCUUUUAGUUUUUCAUGCUUGUCACAUGUUUACUUCUAAGGGUAUAAUCAUGUGGUUUACUAUAUUAUUACCGAUUAGAUUAUUUUGAACUACUUCAAUUUUAUUUAUUUUACCUCAUUUCCAUUCACAUUUUUUGAAAAGAGCUUUUUUAUACAAGAGUGUAAAUAUUUUCACAUUGAAUAAAUGAAUUGAAAACAGUA
RNAcentral lists this long non-coding RNA (2402 nucleotides) under Homo sapiens (human). RNAcentral's name for it is "GSK3B divergent transcript, transcript variant 7 (GSK3B-DT)". The record is from RNAcentral. Lineage: Eukaryota; Metazoa; Chordata; Mammalia; Primates; Hominidae.